UAUCACGCCGUCCGGUACUA
This 20-nucleotide non-coding RNA is filed under the name Mus musculus (house mouse). Lineage: Eukaryota; Metazoa; Chordata; Mammalia; Rodentia; Muridae. The record is from RNAcentral.